This is a long non-coding RNA of Corvus hawaiiensis (hawaiian crow), 1065 nucleotides long. RefSeq lists it as uncharacterized. The transcript has 4 exons. NCBI's taxonomy places the organism in Eukaryota, Metazoa, Chordata, Aves, Passeriformes, Corvidae. The record is from RefSeq and is a predicted model, not a curated record.
UCAGUACCUUUUUUAGUGCACAGCUUGCACUCAGAAAGAGAAAUGAGGGGAUCAUUGCUGCUAGUUAUGGAAGUUCAGCAUGGCAGGACUCCAGAGCAAGCAAGUGCAUGGCAGUGGCACCUAUUCCUGCUGGCUGCCAACAUUCCUGUACAACUCAUACCAGCUUUACCAAAUCAGCAGAAGGAAUUUGUUUUGAUUACUGAUGCAUUCAAUAUUGCUUCUUCCAGGUCAUAAUCAUUCCACUGAUGUCCCACUGAAAAUUUCCACUCAGCAGGCGUUUGCCACGUGCCUGCUGUCCCCUUCCCCACCUGGCUGGGGAUGGCUGGGCCACGGAGGAAAAGACCAACAUGGAAGUUUUGAAUCCCAUGGAGCACCACCACCUCAUUUCCAGUGUGCCCCACUGGUACAACAAGGGAGCUUCCUACUAAUACAUGGUUUCAAGAUAGCAAGGAUGUAGUGCAACUCUAGCCUUGAGACAGAAAGGUACUGACUAGAAAGUGAAAAGCUAUCAGCCUCAGCAAGCCUGCAGACAUUAUGGUUCACUGCCUAAAUUGCAUUCAUACAACUCUCAUCAUAAGAAAUAUGCUGGCUUGUGAUGAAAGAAAGUUGUUGCAUCAGUGAGAGUUCCUGGCAAUACUCAGCUUCCCAGAGAAGAGCUUGUCUUGGGUAAUCUCACAGAAAAAGGAACAGUGGCUGGGUUCCAAGCUGCAGAUCCUAACUCAGAAUGAAAUUUCUCUGCACUGCCCAGCAGCAAGUCCUGUUCCAAAGAGUGCACUAUUUAAGUAGGCAUGAUGGACAAAGAGCAGCAGCAGAAAAUCAUCAUUAUUCCCUGCUUCACGGGUGGGAAACUGAAAGACAGAUUCAAUGACCGUCCAAGGGUCACACAGGAAAAGGAGUAAUUCAUAAAUCCCAGUACAAGGUCUUAAACCAUGAGAUUUCCUCUCAUUCUUUAAUCAAUAAUAAAACAUCACAGAUGUCUAAGAAUCUAAUAUCUGCAAAACUGCUCCAAGGUCUAUAGGCAUGAUACAAUUAAUUUCCAUUAAGAGCAAUGUGAUGUGAGGGCAC